Molecule: ribosomal RNA, 279 nt
Filed under: uncultured bacterium
Lineage: Bacteria
Description: partial 16S ribosomal RNA
Rfam family: Bacterial small subunit ribosomal RNA
Source: RNAcentral
UGCCAGCCGCCGCGGUAAUACGGAGGGUCCAAGCGUUAUCCGGAUUUAUUGGGUUUAAAGGGUCCGCAGGCGGGAUAUUAAGUCAGUGGUGAAAGCCUACAGCUUAACUGUAGAACUGCCAUUGAUACUGUUAUUCUUGAAUAUAGUUGAGGUAGGCGGAAUGUGUAAUGUAGCGGUGAAAUGCUUAGAUAUUACACAGAACACCGAUUGCGAAGGCAGCUUGCUAAACUAUGAUUGACGCUGAUGCACGAAAGCGUGGGGAGCGAACAGGAUUAGAUA